AUUGAACGCUGGCGGCAUGCUUUACACAUGCAAGUCGAGCGGCAGCGCGGGGGCAACCCUGGCGGCGAGCGGCGAGCGGGUGAGUAAUGCAUCGGAACGUAUCCUCGAGUGGGGGAUAACCCAGCGAAAGUUGGGCUAAUACCGCAUGAGCUCUGAGGAGGAAAGCGGGGGACCUGCGAGGGCCUCGCGCUGGAGGAGCGGCCGAUGUCCGAUUAGCUAGUUGGUGGGGUAAAGGCUUACCAAGGCGACGAUCGGUAGCUGGUCUGAGAGGAUGAUCAGCCACACUGGGACUGAGACACGGCCCAGACUCCUACGGGAGGCAGCAGUGGGGAAUUUUGGACAAUGGGGGCAACCCUGAUCCAGCCAUGCCGCGUGAGUGAAGAAGGCCUUCGGGUUGUAAAGCUCUUUCGGACGGAACGAAAUGGGCGGGACUAAUACUCCUGUCUGAUGACGGUACCGUAAGAAGAAGCACCGGCUAACUACGUG
RNAcentral lists this ribosomal RNA (486 nucleotides) under uncultured bacterium. RNAcentral describes it as "partial 16S ribosomal RNA". It matches the Rfam family "Bacterial small subunit ribosomal RNA", at positions 29 to 507 of the family's 1533-position model. The record is from RNAcentral.